Molecule: ribosomal RNA, 250 nt
Filed under: Pluteaceae sp. 11 CRJH-2017
Lineage: Eukaryota; Fungi; Basidiomycota; Agaricomycetes; Agaricales; Pluteaceae
Description: partial 28S ribosomal RNA
Rfam family: Eukaryotic large subunit ribosomal RNA
Source: RNAcentral
AGAGCUCAAAUUUAAAAUCUGGCGGCCUGCGGUCGUCCGAGUUGUAAGCUAGAGAAGUGCCGUCCGCGCUGGGGCCGUGUACAAGUCUCCUGGAACGGAGCGUCGUGGAGGGUGAGAACCCCGUCUGUGACACGGACCUCCCAGGGCAUCGGGAUGGCGCCCUCAAAGAGUCGAGUUGUUUGGGAAUGCAGCUCCAAAUGGGUGGUAAACUCCAUCUAAAGCUAAACAUUGGCGAGAGACCGAUAGCGAA